ACGGGAGGCAGCAGUGGGGAAUAUUGCACAAUGGGGGAAACCCUGAUGCAGCGACGCCGCGUGAGUGAAGAAGUAUUUCGGUAUGUAAAGCUCUAUCAGCAGGGAAGAUAAUGACGGUACCUGACUAAGAAGCCCCGGCUAACUACGUGCCAGCAGCCGCGGUAAUACGUAGGGGGCAAGCGUUAUCCGGAUUUACUGGGUGUAAAGGGAGCGUAGACGGUCUGGCAAGUCUGAAGUGAAAUGCCGGGGCUCGACCCCGGAACUGCUUUGGAAACUGUUGGACUGGAGUGCAGGAGAGGUAAGCGGAAUUCCUAGUGUAGCGGUGAAAUGCGUAGAUAUUAGGAGGAACACCAGAGGCGAAGGCGGCUUACUGGACUGUAACUGACGUUGAGGCUCGAAAGCGUGGGGAGCAAACAGGAUUAGAUACCCUGGUA
RNAcentral lists this ribosomal RNA (434 nucleotides) under uncultured Clostridium sp. RNAcentral describes it as "partial 16S ribosomal RNA". It matches the Rfam family "Bacterial small subunit ribosomal RNA", at positions 341 to 792 of the family's 1533-position model. Lineage: Bacteria; Bacillati; Bacillota; Clostridia; Eubacteriales; Clostridiaceae. The record is from RNAcentral.